UACGAAGGGGGCUAGCGUUGUUCGGAUUUACUGGGCGUAAAGGGUGCGUAGGUGGUUUGAUAAGUUAAAUGUGAAAGCCCCGGGCUUAACCUGGGAAUGGCGUUUAAUACUGUUAAACUAGAGUAUUGGAGAGGAAAGUGGAAUUUCCGGUGUAGCGGUGAAAUGCGUAGAUAUCGGAAGGAACAUCAGUGGCGAAGGCGACUUUCUGGCCAAAUACUGACACUGAGGCACGAAAGCAUGGGGAGCAAACAGG
Molecule: ribosomal RNA, 253 nt
Filed under: uncultured bacterium
Lineage: Bacteria
Description: partial 16S ribosomal RNA
Rfam family: Bacterial small subunit ribosomal RNA
Source: RNAcentral